RNAcentral lists this ribosomal RNA (253 nucleotides) under uncultured bacterium. RNAcentral describes it as "partial 16S ribosomal RNA". It matches the Rfam family "Bacterial small subunit ribosomal RNA", at positions 524 to 776 of the family's 1533-position model. The record is from RNAcentral.
GACGGAGGGUGCAAACGUUGUUCGGAAUCACUGGGCAUAAAGCGCACGUAGGCGGUCCGCUAAGUCAGUUGUGAAAUCCCUCGGCUCAACCGAGGAACUGCACCUGAUACUGGCGGGCUAGAGGACGGUAGGGGUGAGUGGAACUCCAGGUGGAGCGGUGAAAUGCGUAGAUAUCUGGAGGAACACCGGUGGCGAAGGCGGCUCACUGGACCGUGUCUGACGCUGAGGUGCGAAAGCUAGGGUAGCAAACGGG